GGGUGCGCACAAGCGGGUGGAUGCAUGUGGCUAUAUAGACAUUCCUGAGGAUACCAUNUUCCCUAGGGGAUAGAAUGCUGUCGAUAGAGUAUUUCUAGGAACUGGGCUCGGCGAUAAGCCAAUGGUCCGACAUGCANGGUGUGACAUUCGCUGUCGUCAGAUGCGUGGCCNUAAGUUGCUGCGGCUANGUGCACGCCACCUGAAGNGCAGCUCGCCUAUCAAGUGUCGUCCAACGAGGGUUNGUUNNGGGCUGUCCGAGUUCUAAACAUCGCGAGGCAACAAUGCAGAAAGAAUAUCNAGGUCAUCANGUCCAGUUACUGUUCACNGGGCCUUCCGUCCAGGUCCAACUGCACUGCCAAUGGUCGCAUAUCGGCAAUAGUAUCUACUAAUGAACCAUUUCUGCAUAAUCGUGCACNUUCAUGGGGUCCACAAGUCUGCNCNUUAGUUGUACAUCNGAUACNUAAUCGUGCCUGCAAANCAUGGUCCGCGNGUAUGUUCCCGCGCCCCUGUNUCCUCCCCGAACAGUAGAGUCUGCAUGGUAAAAUGUAGGGUGGCUUAAAGCUCAAGUACACAGCGGUCNAGGGUAUCUCGUGAUGAUAGGGUUAAGUCGUAACAAGGUAGC
Molecule: ribosomal RNA, 622 nt
Filed under: uncultured bacterium
Lineage: Bacteria
Description: partial 16S ribosomal RNA
Source: RNAcentral